GGGUCGUUAGCUCAGUUGGUAGAGCAGUUGGCUUUUAACCANGAAUCCCACACGACCCACCA
RNAcentral lists this transfer RNA (62 nucleotides) under Pseudomonas syringae pv. actinidiae ICMP 19068. RNAcentral describes it as "tRNA-OTHER". It matches the Rfam family "tRNA". Rfam says of the family: Transfer RNA (tRNA) molecules are approximately 80 nucleotides in length. Lineage: Bacteria; Pseudomonadati; Pseudomonadota; Gammaproteobacteria; Pseudomonadales; Pseudomonadaceae. The record is from RNAcentral.